UUGAGGGAUUGGAGCAAACUUUUCCACUGACGCGUUUCAAAAGCAGCGUGAGCCAUUGCAAAAACGUGGGAAAUAACUGGAUGCGUCGAUAGAUACCUUAAUUAAUUAUUCUCAAAGGCUGUCGAUAUUGUUACCCAAUCACUGUCAGAGACGGACAGCCAACAACCGGUAACCUAACAUCUGCGGAGGCAAUGCCACUCGUCGACAGCUCAACGUGGGUCCACCCAGUCGGCACAAAAACAUCAGGAAUUUAAUUUAGGUUUGAUGUUUCAGGAGUCUAUCCAUCCAAAAAGAAGAUUGGCACGUUCACAGAAAUCAACCACUGCAAGAGACUGAUAAGUUACUUGGAGCGUAACCUGGGUCCAGGUCAGUAUGAGGUGGACAUGGGGGACUUCAGCCCCCAGGUGGUCCAGAGCAGGGCCAGGGUACCAGGGCGGA
Molecule: long non-coding RNA, 438 nt
Organism: Coregonus clupeaformis (lake whitefish)
Lineage: Eukaryota; Metazoa; Chordata; Actinopteri; Salmoniformes; Salmonidae
Exons: 3
Source: RefSeq, a predicted model, not a curated record